This is a long non-coding RNA of Molossus molossus (Pallas's mastiff bat), 579 nucleotides long. RefSeq lists it as uncharacterized. The transcript has 3 exons. Lineage: Eukaryota; Metazoa; Chordata; Mammalia; Chiroptera; Molossidae. The record is from RefSeq and is a predicted model, not a curated record.
UGUACAGUAUCUUUGAAAUGUGGUGUAUGUUUUACACUUAACAUAUUUCAGUAUAGUAGCCAUUGGCCACUUUGUAAGUGUGUAAUAGUCACAGGUAACUAUCAGCUACUGUAUUGGACAAGCCUGGAUUUAGAAUAUUUGCCAAUCAUGGAUUAACUUGUCUUUUAUUCCCUCUUACCUCUUUUUAUUGUACAUAGAUUUCAAGAACUGGGGUGCAUCCCAUUUGUAAAAGGAAGAUUAAUAAUAACCCUUCUUGGCUAGUGGUGAUUAGAUGUGAAAGGUCUGAAAGAGAGCUUUAGUACCCAGUACAGAAAUGCAGGCUGUUUUCCAAAGGAUUUUGUUUUGAAAUACAUAUUUCUCUGCCCAUGAGUCUUCAUUAUUGAACUUACUUCCAGGUGGAUUAUUGUCUCAAGAUGUAAAAGUACCUUUACCUUAAUCUAAUUAUAGUUGGACUUCAUUUGAUGUAAACUUUCAAUAAGAUGUGUUUUCAACAUUGAGACCCUCCAGUAGCAAAAAGAUUACAACUUGCUGAGGCUCAGAUGAUAGAAUUUUUUAGCAAUGCAAUAUUUUUUAGUAAAG